This 388-nucleotide long non-coding RNA is filed under the name Cyanistes caeruleus (blue tit). RNAcentral's name for it is "lncRNA (ENSCCEG00000003491.1)". The record is from RNAcentral. Lineage: Eukaryota; Metazoa; Chordata; Aves; Passeriformes; Paridae.
AAUCCUUUUGGGGUCUGCAGAACCCGUCGGGGUCCGUGGAAUCUUUUGGGGUCAAUAAAACCUUGGGGGCUGUGGGAACUUUUGGGGUCCCUAAAACCCUUCAGGGGCCAUAAAAUCCUUUUGGGGUCGAUAGAAACUGAGGGUCUCUGGAGCCUUUUGGGGGUCUGUGGAGCCUUUUGGGGUCUGGGGGACUUUGGGGUCUGUGGGACACUUUGGGGUCUGUGGGACACUUUGGGGUCUGUGGGAUCUUUUGGGGUCUCUGGGAUCCUUUGGGGUCUGUGGGAUCUUUUGGGGUCUCUGGGAUCCUUUGGGGUCUGUGGGACACUUUGGGGUCUCUGGGAUCCUUUGGGGUCUCUGGGAUCUUUGGGGUCUCUGGGAUCUUUUGGGG